CCUACGAGCGGCAGCAGUCGAGAAUCAUUCACAAUGGGGGAAACCCUGAUGGUGCGACGCCGCGUGGGGGAAUGAAGGCUUUCGGAUUGGAAAUUCUUGUCAUGUGGGAGCAAAUUAAAAAGAUAGUACCAUACGAGGAAGAGACGACUAACUCUGUGCCAGCAGCCGCGGUAAUAAAGAGGUGCAAAGCGUUGUUCGGAAGCAUUGGGCGUAAAGGGUGCGUUGGCUGUUUCGUAAGUCGUUUGUGAAAGGCGCGGGAUCAACCCGGGGACGACACAUGAUACUGUGAGACUAGAGCGAUGGAGGGGGAAGCGGAAUUCUCGGUGGAGCAGUGGAAUGCGUAGAUAUCGAGAGGAACACUCGAGGCGAAGGGGAGUUCCUGGACAUUAACUUACGCUGAGGCACGAAGGCCAGGGGAGCGAAAGGGAUUAGAUACCCUUGUAGUC
Molecule: ribosomal RNA, 446 nt
Filed under: uncultured bacterium
Lineage: Bacteria
Description: partial 16S ribosomal RNA
Rfam family: Bacterial small subunit ribosomal RNA
Source: RNAcentral